GAUGAAGAACGUAGCGAAAUGCGAUAAGUAAUGUGAAUUGCAGAAUUCAGUGAAUCAUCGAAUCUUUGAACGCACCUUGCGCUCCUUGGUAUUCCGAGCAGCAUGCCUGUUUGAGUGUCAUUAAUAUAUCAACCUCUUCAGCUUAUGCUUGUUGAGUGUUGGAUGGUGGGGGUUUGCUGGUGUCUUAUGAAGUCAGCUCCUCUGAAAUGCAUUAGCGGAACAAUUUGUUGACCGUUCAUUGGUGUGAUAAAAAUAUCUACGCUAUUGACGUCAGUCAGUUCAGCUUCUAACAGUCCAUUGACUUGGACAAAUUUUUCAUUAAUGUGACCUCAAAUCAGGUAGGACUACCCGCUGAACUUAAGCAUAUCAAUAAGCGGAGGA
RNAcentral lists this unclassified non-coding RNA (381 nucleotides) under soil metagenome. Its description in RNAcentral is "partial contains 5.8S ribosomal RNA, internal transcribed spacer 2, and large subunit ribosomal RNA". The stretch from base 1 to 120 matches the Rfam family "5.8S ribosomal RNA", at positions 35 to 154 of the family's 154-position model. The record is from RNAcentral.